GACGAACGCUGGCGGCGUGCCUAAUACAUGCAAGUAGAACGCUGAAGGAGGAGCUUGCUCUUCUGGAUGAGUUGCGAACGGGUGAGUAACGCGUAGGUAACCUGCCUGGUAGCGGGGGAUAACUAUUGGAAACGAUAGCUAAUACCGCAUAACAGUAGAUGUUGCAUGACAUUUACUUAAAAGGUGCAAUUGCAUCACUACCAGAUGGACCUGCGUUGUAUUAGCUUGUUGGUGGGGUAACGGCUCACCAAGGCGACGAUACAUAGCCGACCUGAGAGGGUGAUCGGCCACACUGGGACUGAGACACGGCCCAGACUCCUACGGGAGGCAGCAGUAGGGAAUCUUCGGCAAUGGACGGAAGUCUGACCGAGCAACGCCGCGUGAGUGAAGAAGGUUUUCGGAUCGUAAAGCUCUGUUGUAAGAGAAGAACGAGUGUGAGAGUGGAAAGUUCACACUGUGACGGUAUCUUACCAGAAAGGGACGGCUAACUACGUG
RNAcentral lists this ribosomal RNA (495 nucleotides) under uncultured bacterium. Its description in RNAcentral is "partial 16S ribosomal RNA". It matches the Rfam family "Bacterial small subunit ribosomal RNA", at positions 28 to 507 of the family's 1533-position model. The record is from RNAcentral.